This 363-nucleotide ribosomal RNA is filed under the name Shigella sonnei. Its description in RNAcentral is "partial 23S ribosomal RNA". It matches the Rfam family "Bacterial large subunit ribosomal RNA", at positions 1233 to 1598 of the family's 2925-position model. Lineage: Bacteria; Pseudomonadati; Pseudomonadota; Gammaproteobacteria; Enterobacterales; Enterobacteriaceae. The record is from RNAcentral.
GGAGCGUUCUGUAAGCCUGCGAAGGUGUGCUGUGAGGCAUGCUGGAGGUAUCAGAAGUGCGAAUGCUGACAUAAGUAACGAUAAAGCGGGUGAAAAGCCCGCUCGCCGGAAGACCAAGGGUUCCUGUCCAACGUUAAUCGGGGCAGGGUGAGUCGACCCCUAAGGCGAGGCCGAAAGGCGUAGUCGAUGGGAAACAGGUUAAUAUUCCUGUACUUGGUGUUACUGCGAAGGGGGGACGGAGAAGGCUAUGUUGGCCGGGCGACGGUUGUCCCGGUUUAAGCGUGUAGGCUGGUUUUCCAGGCAAAUCCGGAAAAUCAAGGCUGAGGCGUGAUGACGAGGCACUACGGUGCUGAAGCAACAAAU